CCUACGGGUGGCAGCAGUGGGGAAUAUUGCACAAUGGGCGGAACCCUGAUGCAGCGACGCCGCGUGGGUGAAGGAGGACUUCGGUACGUAAAGCCCUAUCAGCAAGGAAGAAAAUGACGGUACUUGACUAAGAAGCCCCGGCUAACUACGUGCCAGCAGCCGCGGUAAUACGUAGGGGGCAAGCGUUAUCCGGAUUUACGGGGGGUAAAGGGAGCGUAGAGGGGUUUGUAUGUCCGAGGUGAAAGCCGGGGGCGCAACCCUGGACCGCCUGUGAAAAUUGCAAACUUGAGUGCGGGAGAGGCAAGCGGAAUUCCUGGUGUAGCGGUGAAAUGCGUAGAUAUCAGGAGGAACACCGGUGGCGAAGGCGGCCUGCUGGACCGUAACUGACGUUGAGGCACGAAAGCGUGGGGAGCAAACAGGAUUAGAUACCCUAGUAGUC
Molecule: ribosomal RNA, 439 nt
Filed under: uncultured bacterium
Lineage: Bacteria
Description: partial 16S ribosomal RNA
Rfam family: Bacterial small subunit ribosomal RNA
Source: RNAcentral